RNAcentral lists this transfer RNA (89 nucleotides) under Trichuris suis (pig whipworm). It matches the Rfam family "tRNA". From Rfam's summary of the family: Transfer RNA (tRNA) molecules are approximately 80 nucleotides in length. Their secondary structure includes four short double-helical elements and three loops (D, anti-codon, and T loops). Lineage: Eukaryota; Metazoa; Nematoda; Enoplea; Trichinellida; Trichuridae. The record is from Rfam by way of RNAcentral.
CCUCUGAUAGCUCAGUUGGUAGAGCGGUGGACUGUAGUGUUGAGCACACGGGCAUCCAUAGGUCGCUGGUUCAAGUCCGGCUCAGAGGA